GACGAACGCUGGCGGCGUGCUUAACACAUGCAAGUCGAACGGAAAGGCCCUGCUUUUGUGGGGUGCUCGAGUGGCGAACGGGUGAGUAACACGUGAGUAACCUGCCCUUGACUUUGGGAUAACUUCAGGAAACUGGGGCUAAUACCGGAUAGGAGCUCCUGCUGCAUGGUGGGGGUUGGAAAGUUUCGGCGGUUGGGGAUGGACUCGCGGCUUAUCAGCCUGUUGGUGGGGUAGUGGCUUACCAAGGCUUUGACGGGUAGCCGGCCUGAGAGGGUGACCGGCCACAUUGGGACUGAGAUACGGCCCAGACUCCUACGGGAGGCAGCAGUGGGGAAUAUUGCACAAUGGGCGGAAGCCUGAUGCAGCAACGCCGCGUGCGGGAUGGCGGCCUUCGGGUUGUAAACCGCUUUCGCCUGUGACGAAGCGUGAGUGACGGUAAUGGGUAAAGAAGCACCGGCUAACUACGUG
This 468-nucleotide ribosomal RNA is filed under the name uncultured bacterium. RNAcentral describes it as "partial 16S ribosomal RNA". It matches the Rfam family "Bacterial small subunit ribosomal RNA", at positions 28 to 507 of the family's 1533-position model. The record is from RNAcentral.